AAGUCGUAACAAGGUCUCCGUUGGUGAACCAGCGGAGGGAUCAUUACUGAGUAUUUUACUCUCAAACCCAUGUGAACUUACCACUUGUUGCCUCGGUGGUUGGCUGCUGAUCGUCUCCCGAGAGGGUGGUGGUCUUCGGCUAUAGCCACCGGUGGACCUCCUAAACUCUUGUUUUUACUGUUUCUCUGAGUAACUACAAAAUGAAUCAAAACUUUCAACAACGGAUCUCUUGGUUCUG
RNAcentral lists this unclassified non-coding RNA (238 nucleotides) under Neoidriella desertorum. RNAcentral's name for it is "partial internal transcribed spacer region". The stretch from base 1 to 46 matches the Rfam family "Eukaryotic small subunit ribosomal RNA", at positions 1786 to 1831 of the family's 1831-position model. The record is from RNAcentral. Lineage: Eukaryota; Fungi; Ascomycota; Sordariomycetes; Xylariales. RNAcentral also lists the same sequence under 1 other name.